CUUUAGCACUGUGAGUUGUGGUUUGUUUAUCGUUAGGGCUAGUUGUGUGGGAGA
RNAcentral lists this transfer RNA (54 nucleotides) under Pomphorhynchus laevis. Its description in RNAcentral is "tRNA-Arg". The record is from RNAcentral. Lineage: Eukaryota; Metazoa; Acanthocephala; Palaeacanthocephala; Echinorhynchida; Pomphorhynchidae.